GCGCCCGUAGCUCAGUGGAUUAGAGCAUCGGUCUUCUAAACCGAGGGUCGCAGGUUCGAGUCCUGCCGGGCGCGCCA
Molecule: transfer RNA, 77 nt
Filed under: Gammaproteobacteria bacterium
Lineage: Bacteria; Pseudomonadati; Pseudomonadota; Gammaproteobacteria
Description: tRNA-Arg
Rfam family: tRNA
About the family: Transfer RNA (tRNA) molecules are approximately 80 nucleotides in length.
Source: RNAcentral